UGGGGAAUAUUGGACAAUGGGGGCAACCCUGAUCCAGCCAUGCCGCGUGAGUGAAGAAGGCCUUAGGGUUGUAAAGCUCUUUCAGUCGUGACGAUGAUGACGGUAGCGACAGAAGAAGCCCCGGCUAACUCCGUGCCAGCAGCCGCGGUAAUACGGAGGGGGCUAGCGUUGUUCGGAAUCACUGGGCGUAAAGCGCGCGUAGGCGGAUCGGUUAGUUGGGGGUGAAAUCCCGAGGCUCAACCUCGGAACUGCCCUCAAUUCUGUCGAUCUCGAGACCGGGAGAGGUGAGUGGAAUUCCUAGUGUAGAGGUGAAAUUCGUAGAUAUUAGGAAGAACACCAGUGGCGAAGGCGGCUCACUGGCCCGGUACUGACGCUGAGGCGCGAAAGCGUGGGGAGCAAACAGGAUUAGAUACCCGCGUAG
RNAcentral lists this ribosomal RNA (421 nucleotides) under uncultured prokaryote. RNAcentral describes it as "bacterial SSU rRNA". It matches the Rfam family "Bacterial small subunit ribosomal RNA", at positions 355 to 793 of the family's 1533-position model. The record is from RNAcentral.